RNAcentral lists this ribosomal RNA (490 nucleotides) under uncultured bacterium. RNAcentral describes it as "partial 16S ribosomal RNA". It matches the Rfam family "Bacterial small subunit ribosomal RNA", at positions 29 to 507 of the family's 1533-position model. The record is from RNAcentral.
AGUGAACGCUGGCGGUAGGCCUAACACAUGCAAGUCGAACGGCAGCACAGUAAGAGCUUGCUCUUACGGGUGGCGAGUGGCGGACGGGUGAGGAAUACAUCGGAAUCUACUUUUUCGUGGGGGAUAACGUAGGGAAACUUACGCUAAUACCGCAUACGACCUACGGGUGAAAGCAGGGGAUCUUCGGACCUUGCGCCUCAAUGUGCCGAUGUCGGAUUAGCUAGUUGGCGGGGUAAAGGCCCACCAAGGCGACGAUCCGUAGCUGGUCUGAGAGGAUGAUCAGCCACACUGGAACUGAGACACGGUCCAGACUCCUACGGGAGGCAGCAGUGGGGAAUAUUGGACAAUGGGCGCAAGCCUGAUCCAGCCAUACCGCGUGGGUGAAGAAGGCCUUCGGGUUGUAAAGCCCUUUUGUUGGGAAAGAAAAGCAGCAGGUUAAUACCCCGCUGUUCUGACGGUACCCAAAGAAUAAGCACCGGCUAACUUCGUG